UACGUAGGGUGCGAGCGUUGUCCGGAAUUAUUGGGCGUAAAGAGCUCGUAGGCGGUGUGUCACGUCGAUCGUGAAAACUUACAGCUUAACUGUGAGCGUGCGGUCGAUACGGGCAUCACUGGAGUUCGGCAGGGGAGACUGGAAUUCCUGGUGUAGCGGUGAAAUGCGCAGAUAUCAGGAGGAACACCGAUGGCGAAGGCAGGUCUCUGGGCCACUACUGACGCUGAGGAGCGAAAGCGUGGGGAGCGAACAGG
This 254-nucleotide ribosomal RNA is filed under the name uncultured bacterium. RNAcentral describes it as "partial 16S ribosomal RNA". It matches the Rfam family "Bacterial small subunit ribosomal RNA", at positions 524 to 776 of the family's 1533-position model. The record is from RNAcentral.